ACUCCUACGGGAGGCAGCAGUGGGGAAUAUUGCACAAUGGGGGAAACCCUGAUGCAGCCAUGCCGCGUGUGUGAAGAAGGCCUUGGGUUGUAAAGCACUUUCAGUAGGGAGGAAGGUAGUGUAGUUAACACCUGCAUUAUUUGUACGUUACCUACAGAAGAAGCACCGGCUAACUCCGUGCCAGCAGCCGCGGUAAGUACGGAGGGUGCGAGCGUUAAUCGGAAUUACGUGGGCGUAAAGCGCAUGCAGGCGGCCUGUUAAGUCAGAUGUGAAACGCCCGGGGUCUUAACCUCGGAAUUGCAUUUGAAACUGGCAGGCUAGAGUCUUGUAGAGGGGUUAGAAUUUCAGGUGUAGCGGUGAAAUGCGUAGAGAUCGUGAAGGAAUACCGAG
Molecule: ribosomal RNA, 390 nt
Filed under: uncultured bacterium
Lineage: Bacteria
Description: bacterial SSU rRNA
Rfam family: Bacterial small subunit ribosomal RNA
Source: RNAcentral